Molecule: long non-coding RNA, 338 nt
Filed under: Heterocephalus glaber (naked mole-rat)
Lineage: Eukaryota; Metazoa; Chordata; Mammalia; Rodentia; Bathyergidae
Description: lncRNA (ENSHGLG00100042281.1)
Source: RNAcentral
CCCGCCCCCGCGGUGCCUACAGAAGCAAGGAGUAGACUGACCAGCCUGAGGGGCGACCAAGCGAGGGGCUUGAUCGAGCGCCGGGUCUGCGAGGCUGCAGAGUCUUGCUAUGUAGUUCAGGUUGGCCUCAAACUCAAGCUGAUCCUCCUGCUUUAGCCUCGUGUGUGCAGCUGCCGGAAGGGGAGGCUCCCCAGUGCCCUCUAUGCCCUGGCUGCCUAGAGAUCCUCACUCCUGGACACUAGGAACCAAGACCCUAGGACUGAGCACAUGCUCUGUGCUGGCCUCUGAGGCUGCACCUCCUUAGUGCUGAUGCACUGAAGGGAAGGACAGGGGGAAGG